CAUUAUGGUUGGAGGUGAAAGCUUCCGUUAAGGUUCGAGUCGGGCGGUGCGGAAUAUUGCAAACGUGCGGCGCGAAGGGUGAGGCGCGAAAUGGCGAACAGCCUUUCUCCUGCCCCCA
Molecule: small RNA, 118 nt
Filed under: Mixta tenebrionis
Lineage: Bacteria; Pseudomonadati; Pseudomonadota; Gammaproteobacteria; Enterobacterales; Erwiniaceae
Description: Mixta sp. BIT-26 RtT sRNA
Rfam family: RtT RNA
About the family: This family represents a bacterial cis-regulatory element known as RtT RNA. The exact function of RtT is unknown although it is thought that it may be involved in changing the cellular response in relation to amino acid starvation.
Source: RNAcentral